Brassica napus (rape) is the source of this 600-nucleotide long non-coding RNA. RefSeq lists it as uncharacterized. The record is from RefSeq and is a predicted model, not a curated record. NCBI's taxonomy places the organism in Eukaryota, Viridiplantae, Streptophyta, Magnoliopsida, Brassicales, Brassicaceae. The transcript has 2 exons.
AGUUUUACAUUUUUAAGUUAAUAUAGUUUUACAUUUUUAAAUUAAUAUACAAUAUAAAAAAUGUAAAUACCACAUUAAACAGCUAUCUGAAAAUGUAUAGUUUUACAUUUUGAAGUUAAUAUAGUUUUACAUUUUUAAAUUAAUAUAUAAUAUGAAAAAUAGAAACAUUACAUUAAACAUUUAUAUGAAAAUGUUUCACUUAUGUUACCCGUAGGAUGUGGAAUUCAUUUGCAUCUCCUGUUCUAUGUGCUCGCGCAAGCUGCUUCGUGGAUUCACAUAAUUCAGCUGCGACAGAUGCAAUGAUAACAAUGUUCCGAGUGCAGAUGACGGUAAAAGACGUCACUGAGGCAGCUCUUUUUGGCAUUUGUUGGGGCAAUCACCAAAAUUUCUUUAGGUGAAAAUCAGAGUUAGAUUUGAGGCCAAUUGUGUUGGAUUCAAUUUUGUACACAAUGAAAACAUUUAAUGUUCUUUAUUUAAUUCUUGAUUUUGAUAUGCCAUUCAAAAAGUGGAACUAUAUACAAAACUUGAGGUAUGUAUAGCAAAAUACUACGACUUAGCUUUUUUGUACACCGAAGAAAAAAUAACACAAGGUUUAGAACA